Molecule: non-coding RNA, 74 nt
Organism: Triticum aestivum (bread wheat)
Lineage: Eukaryota; Viridiplantae; Streptophyta; Magnoliopsida; Poales; Poaceae
Source: Rfam
GGGGAUGUAGCUCAAUUGGUAGAGCGCUAAUCUAUGUUGGAUAGAGGCACGAGUAUCGAUACUUUGCAUCUCCA